AAACUAACAAGGAUUCCCUUAGUAACGGCGAGUGAACCGGGAAGAGCUCAAAUUUAAAAGCUGGUAGUCUUCGAUUGCCCGCAUUGUAAUCUAUAGACGUGUUUUCCGCGCUGGACCGUAUCUAAGUCCCUUGGAACAGGGUAUCAAAGAGGGUGACAAUCCCGUGCUUGAUACGACCACCAGUGCUCUGUGAUACACGCUCUACGAGUCGAGUUGUUUGGGAAUGCAGCUCAAAAUGGGUGGUAAAUUCCAUCUAAAGCUAAAUAUUGGCGAGAGACCGAUAGCGAACAAGUACCGUGAGGGAAAGAUGAAAAGCACUUUGGAAAGAGAGUUAAACAGUACGUGAAAUUGUUGAAAGGGAAACGAUUGAAGUCAGUCGUGUUCUUUGGAUUCAGCUAGUUCUUCUAGUCUACUUCCAUUGAACGGGUCAACAUCAGUUUUGUUCGGUGGAUAAAGGUAGCAGGAAUGUGGCUUCCCCGGAAGUGUUAUAGCCUGUUGCUGCAUACACUGGAUGAGACUGAGGACUGCAGCUCGGCUUUGCCGACCGCUUCGGCGCUUAGGAUGUUGACAUAAUGGCUUUAAACGAC
This 587-nucleotide ribosomal RNA is filed under the name Trichosporon sp. LB154_1. RNAcentral's name for it is "eukaryotic LSU rRNA". It matches the Rfam family "Eukaryotic large subunit ribosomal RNA", at positions 62 to 648 of the family's 3401-position model. Lineage: Eukaryota; Fungi; Basidiomycota; Tremellomycetes; Trichosporonales; Trichosporonaceae. The record is from RNAcentral.